This 891-nucleotide unclassified non-coding RNA is filed under the name Hevea brasiliensis (rubber tree). The record is from RNAcentral. Lineage: Eukaryota; Viridiplantae; Streptophyta; Magnoliopsida; Malpighiales; Euphorbiaceae.
ACCCAUUUGCUAAAAAGUUCUGGACCCUUCACUGCAAAGAAAUUUAGUCUAGCUUCACAAGCUACUGCACGUGCCAUGAGAGUUUUGCUACAACCAGGAGGACCAAACAUUAAAACCCCAGUUGGGGGACGAGUACCAAUGCGCAAGAAUGCAUCUUGAUGUCUUUGAGGCCAUUCCACUGCUUCCAUUAGUUGAGCUUUUACCUCCCUCUGGCCGCCUACAUCUUCCCAAUUAACUUUUGGAAUCUCAAGUAUCACCUCCCGCAUGGCACUAGGCCUCACUUUCAUCCUCUGGCCCUCUCAAAAUCUUCGAAAGUGACUUUUAAAAAUUUUUUUUCCACCAAAAAUGUCUCCUUAUAACUAGAACUAACCCCAUUAUCAUUGCUAUCUGAAAUUUCAGAAACUGUUCCAAUAGAAUCUGCACAAACGUCUUGCAUCUCAACCAGGCCAUCAGAUUCCUUUAUCAUACUGUCAAGAUGAGAUUCAUAUGCAAUAGAUGACUCGUUGGAAUGUAAAAUAUCAUACAACUUUUUGGACUUGGCAUAUCGUCUAAGACAAACUAAGGCUGCCUCGUUGCAGAGGGAAGCUAAAUCAGCACCCACAAAGCCAUGUGUAGCCACAGCAAGGUUUUGAACCUGCAUUUCUGAAAGAGAAUGCUCCAUUUGACUGAGAAGAGUGUUCAGUAUAUCCAGUCGUUGCUUAGGAGAUGGAACACCUAUCUCAAUUUCUCUGUCGAGUCUUCCAGGCCGUCUCAGUGCAGGCUCAAUGCUAUCAGGCCUGUUUGUAGCAGCAAUUACAAGUAGUCCAUCAGUCCUUCUAAUCCCAUCCAUCAAAUUUAACAAUGUAGCUACCAUUCUUAGGGAAAGUUCUUCACCUCCAUCUUUCCGUGAAG